Molecule: ribosomal RNA, 1371 nt
Filed under: uncultured bacterium
Lineage: Bacteria
Description: partial 16S ribosomal RNA
Rfam family: Bacterial small subunit ribosomal RNA
Source: RNAcentral
AACGAACGCUGGCGGCAUGCCUAACACAUGCAAGUCGAACGCUAACAAGAAGAACUUGGUCUCCUUGCAUAAGAUGCGAACACGUGAGAAACACGUCUGGAACCCGGCCUGAAGCAGGGGAAUACCAUCGGAAACCAUAACUUAUACCCCAUAACCAUGGAUGACACAUGUAAUUUAACCUACAGGCCUCAUUGCUCCACUACAACAUGGACCUGAUUAGUAUUAACUAGUAGGUGAGGCUAUGCCUCACCUAGAUCACUAUACGUACUCAACCUGAGACCGUGAUCGCUCACACUGAGACUGAGACCCGACCCCUACUCCUACGGGAGGCAGCAAAUAGGAAUCUUCGGCAAUGGGGCCGACCCUGACCGAGCAACGCCUCGAGAAUGAACAAGGUUUUCGGAUCACAAAGCUCUGUUGAAAGUCAAAAACGGGUGUGAGAGUGGAAAGUUCACACUGUGACGGUAGCUUACCACAAAGGGACUGCUAACUACGUGCCAGCAGCCGCGGUAAUACGUAGGUCCCGAGCGUUGUCCGGAUUUAUUGGGCGUAAAGCGAGCGCAGGCGGUUUGAUAAGUCUGAAGUUAAAGGCUGUGGCUCAACCAUAGUUCGCUUUGGAAACUGUCAAACUUGAGUGCAGAAGGGGAGAGUGGAAUUCCAUGUGUAGCGGUGAAAUGCGUAGAUAUAUGGAGGAACCCCGGUGGCGAAAGCGGCUCUCUGGUCUGUAACUGACGCUGAGGCUCGAAAGCCUGGGGAGCAAACAGGAUUAGAUACCCUGGUAGUCCCCCCCCUAAACGAUGUGGACUAGGAGGUGGUAUGCUUUUCAGGAUUGACUGCCGCAGCUAACGCAUUAAGUACUCCGCCUGGGGAGUACGACCGCAAGGUUGAAACUCAAAUGAAUUGACGGGGGCCCGCACAAGCGGUGGAGCAUGUGGUUUAAUUCGAAGCAACGCGAAGAACCUUACCUGGUCUUGACAUCCCCAUGCUAUUUCUAAAAAUAGAAAGUUACUUCGGUACCUCUGAGACAGGUGCUGCAUGGUUGUCGUCAGCUCGUGUCGUGAGAUGUUGGGUUAAGUCCCGCAACGAGCGCAACCCCUAUUGUUAGUUGCCAUCAUUCCGGCCGGGCACUCAAGGGAGACUGCCAGUGAUAAACCGGAGGAAGGUGGGGAUGACGUCAAGUCAUCAUGCCCCUUAUGACCAGGGCUACACACGUGCUACAAUGGUGCGUACAAAGAGAAGCGACCUCGCGAGAGCGAGCGGACCUCUUAAAGCCAGUCUCAGUCCGGAUUGGAGUCUGCAACUCGCCUCCAUGAAGUCGGAAUCGCUAGUAAUCGCGGAUCAGCACGCCGCGGUGAAUACGUUCCCGGGCCU